This is a non-coding RNA of Myotis lucifugus (little brown bat), 73 nucleotides long. The record is from Rfam. Lineage: Eukaryota; Metazoa; Chordata; Mammalia; Chiroptera; Vespertilionidae.
GCCGGUUUGGCUUAAUGGAUAGAGCAUCGGCCUGUGGGCUGAAGGGUCCCAGGUUCAAUUCCAGGUAAGGGCA